Molecule: ribosomal RNA, 549 nt
Filed under: Bifidobacterium bifidum
Lineage: Bacteria; Bacillati; Actinomycetota; Actinomycetes; Bifidobacteriales; Bifidobacteriaceae
Description: bacterial SSU rRNA
Rfam family: Bacterial small subunit ribosomal RNA
Source: RNAcentral
AAAACGGGUGGUAAUGCCGGAUGUUCCACAUGAUCGCAUGUGAUUGUGGGAAAGAUUCUAUCGGCGUGGGAUGGGGUCGCGUCCUAUCAGCUUGUUGGUGAGGUAACGGCUCACCAAGGCUUCGACGGGUAGCCGGCCUGAGAGGGCGACCGGCCACAUUGGGACUGAGAUACGGCCCAGACUCCUACGGGAGGCAGCAGUGGGGAAUAUUGCACAAUGGGCGCAAGCCUGAUGCAGCGACGCCGCGUGAGGGAUGGAGGCCUUCGGGUUGUAAACCUCUUUUGUUUGGGAGCAAGCCUUCGGGUGAGUGUACCUUUCGAAUAAGCGCCGGCUAACUACGUGCCAGCAGCCGCGGUAAUACGUAGGGCGCAAGCGUUAUCCGGAUUUAUUGGGCGUAAAGGGCUCGUAGGCGGCUCGUCGCGUCCGGUGUGAAAGUCCAUCGCUUAACGGUGGAUCUGCGCCGGGUACGGGCGGGCUGGAGUGCGGUAGGGGAGACUGGAAUUCCCGGUGUAACGGUGGAAUGUGUAGAUAUCGGAAAAGAACACCACC